RNAcentral lists this ribosomal RNA (253 nucleotides) under uncultured bacterium. RNAcentral describes it as "partial 16S ribosomal RNA". It matches the Rfam family "Bacterial small subunit ribosomal RNA", at positions 524 to 776 of the family's 1533-position model. The record is from RNAcentral.
UACGUAGGGGGCAAGCGUUAUCCGGAUUUACUGGGUGUAAAGGGAGCGUAGACGGCUUUGCAAGCCAGAUGUGAAAGCCCGGGGCUCAACCUCGGGACUGCAUUUGGAACCGUAUGGCUGGAGUGUCGGAGAGGCAGGCGGAAUUCCUAGUGUAGCGGUGAAAUGCGUAGAUAUUAGGAGGAACACCAGUGGCGAAGGCGGCCUGCUGGACGAUGACUGACGUUGAGGCUCGAAAGCGUGGGGAGCAAACAGG